This 961-nucleotide ribosomal RNA is filed under the name uncultured bacterium. RNAcentral's name for it is "bacterial SSU rRNA". It matches the Rfam family "Bacterial small subunit ribosomal RNA", at positions 56 to 1021 of the family's 1533-position model. The record is from RNAcentral.
UGCAAGUCGAGUGCGCGUCCGUAGCAAUACGGAUGGCGCACGGCGCACGGGUGCGUAACACGUGGGCAAUCUGCCCUUCGAUGGGGAAUAACUCCGGGAAACCGAAGCUAAUUCCGCAUAACAUUCCUUGGACCCCGGUCCGGGGACUCAAAGCCGUAAGGCGUCGAAGGAGGAGCCCGCGCCCGAUUAGCUAGUUGGUGAGGUAACGGCUCACCAAGGCAAUGAUCGGUAGCUGGUCUGAGAGGAUGGCCAGCCACACUGGAACUGAGACACGGUCCAGACUCCUACGGGAGGCAGCAGUGGGGAAUCUUGCGCAAUGGGCGAAAGCCUGACGCAGCGACGCCGCGUGGGGGAUGAAGCAUCUCGGUGUGUAAACCCCUUUCGACUGGGACGAAUACCUCGCAAGAGGGGUGACGGUACCAGUAGAAGAAGCCCCGGCUAACUACGUGCCAGCAGCCGCGGUAAGACGUAGGGGGCCAGCGUUGUUCGGAAUUACUGGGUGUAAAGGGUUCGUAGGCGGUGUGGCAAGUCGGGAGUGAAAUCUAUGGGCUUAACCCAUAGGCUGCUUCCGAAACUGCCGUGCUUGAGUGUGGGAGAGGCGCGUGGAAUUGCAGGUGUAGCGGUGAAAUGCGUAGAUAUCUGCAGGAACACCCGUGGCGAAAGCGGCGCGCUGGACCACUACUGACGCUGAGGAACGAAAGCUAGGGGAGCAAACAGGAUUAGAUACCCUGGUAGUCCUAGCCCUAAACGAUCAGGACUUGGGGUGCCACCCGUUCGGGUGUCGUCCCGGAGCUAACGCGUUAAGUCCUGCACCUGGGGAGUACGGUCGCAAGACUGAAACUCAAAGGAAUUGACGGGGGCCCGCACAAGCGGUGGAACAUGUGGUUCAAUCGACGCUACGCGAGGACCUUACCUGGGCUCGAAAUGCUGGUGACCAGCUGUAAAAUACGGCCUUCCCGCA